Carassius carassius (crucian carp) is the source of this 450-nucleotide long non-coding RNA. RefSeq lists it as uncharacterized. The transcript has 3 exons. Lineage: Eukaryota; Metazoa; Chordata; Actinopteri; Cypriniformes; Cyprinidae. The record is from RefSeq and is a predicted model, not a curated record.
UGAUCCACACUCCGGAACAGAAGAGGGCGGUAAUGCACCAAUAAACUCGAUACCAACCGCCGUUAAUCUCGAAAGAAGACGAAUAUGACAGCUUGCUGUGAAAGACAACGGGACAGAUGAGACACAUGUGUGUUUAUCUGCUGUAGAGACACUGAUGAAGGAAUGCUGCCAUCAAAAAGGAUUUAUCUUUCAUGGUGGAGCAGGACCUGCAAGGAAAGGUGAAAAAAAGGGAAAACCUGAAACAAAAGAAUAAAUUAAUGACUUUUUGUAUUGUGUAUGUGUAUUUUUGUAGGACAUGAAAAUGUCUGUAGACUGGUGUGUGCACUGAGGAUGGAGAAGACCAAAGCAUCAUCCUGGAAAUGAUCGAGAGUCACAGAUGAGACGCUCCCUCACUCCACCUGCCCUUUACUGUCUCAUCAGGACCAGAUGCUGCUAGGGCUGCUCCGAUCA